GAUGAACGCUGGCGGCGUGCCUAAUACAUGCAAGUCGAGCGAGCGGCGGACGGGUGAGUAAUGUCUGGGAAACUGCCUGAUGGAGGGGGAUAACUACUGGAAACGGUAGCUAAUACCGCAUACCCUCAGAUGUGCACAGAUGGGAUUAGCUAGUAGUGGGGUUAACGGCUCACCUAGGCGACGAUCCCUAGCUGGUCUGAGAGGAUGACCAGCCACACUGGAACGUAGACACGGUCCAGACUCCUACGGGAGGCAGCAGUGGGGAAUAUUGCACAAUGGGCGCAAGCCUGAUGCAGCCAUGCCGCGUGUAUGAAGAAGGCCUUAGGGUUGUAAAGUACUUUCAGCGGUGAGGCGUUACCCGCAGAAGAAGCACCGGCUAACUCCGUGCCAGCAGCCGCGGUAAUUC
This 406-nucleotide ribosomal RNA is filed under the name uncultured bacterium. Its description in RNAcentral is "partial 16S ribosomal RNA". It matches the Rfam family "Bacterial small subunit ribosomal RNA", at positions 28 to 526 of the family's 1533-position model. The record is from RNAcentral.